Molecule: long non-coding RNA, 530 nt
Filed under: Pocillopora damicornis (cauliflower coral)
Lineage: Eukaryota; Metazoa; Cnidaria; Anthozoa; Scleractinia; Pocilloporidae
Description: uncharacterized LOC113678456, transcript variant X2
Source: RNAcentral
GGCUUUAAAAAAUGUUCCAGCUUCAGGAUUGAGUUGCUCUUACAACAGCCUUCGGCGAAAUCGGUUUCGGGAGGUUGAGGUGGAUUUCCCAAGUCAUGGCUCACAACUGUCUUUGGCCUUUUUGCUCUCCAAGUCUGUUAUACAUGGGAGAUGUGAUGUGACCCCACUACAUAUACGUUGGUACUAUAUCCUUUGAAGUAGGAGAAGUUGGUAUUUGAUCCAUGGAUUUUCCUGUAAUUGAUAUGUUUCUUUAUUCUCAUCACUUGUCUGUUUGAUACUGUGUUGUUAUUAUAAGGAGAAAUACUGUCUUGGUCACUCUUGGGAGCUUAAAUGUUAAGCAUUGGGUCAGUUUGCACAAAGUAUCACAUAACGCUGUAAUUAUCUCCUUUUUAGAACUCUUUCAACAACUUUUUUUCAAAUUUGAUGAAAAUCUCAAGAUGGUUUUAAAUCAGUUUAUCUCAGUGUCCCAAGGGGUCAAGAAUGAAAUUGAUAAGUGAAUUUUUGGUUUUGAAUAUGCCACAAUCCUCUUG